Molecule: long non-coding RNA, 635 nt
Organism: Lontra canadensis (Northern American river otter)
Lineage: Eukaryota; Metazoa; Chordata; Mammalia; Carnivora; Mustelidae
Exons: 3
Source: RefSeq, a predicted model, not a curated record
AGUCCUUCUCCCCAUUUCGACUGCCGCAACGACUUGGAGACAAGAAGCCUUCUACAGACUCGGAUCUAAAUGGAACAGCCACUACCUCCUUGCGGACGAACGACACGGGGCCGCACAAACGAGGGCUUCACCACUUCGAACCACCAGAACAGCUCGGCCAUGAACACCAAAUAAUUACUCUACGUAAGAGAGUUAGGAAAAAGAGAAAAAUCAGGUUUUAUCUCAAUUCCUGGGACCUUAAGGAUUCCUUCUUCCCAUAUUCCACAGUCCUGCUGAAUGCUAAAAGUGAGCGGAACUUCCUUCAUGCUCCCAGCAUACCAUAAUAGCAUCUGUCUAAGAUUCGUGUAGUGACUUAUCCUCUAUUUUACUAACUUUAGGACAACAGGUCAGUUUUGUACCACAACUUUUCAGUUUAGCUUUGUAUUAUAAAAGAAACCCAUAGCUAACAGUGUAUUAAAACCUAAAAUAAGCAGAAAACUAAAACUUUUUUCAAAAGCUUAUUUGACUGAUAUUAUAGUUAAUCUGUAAACUUAUAGUGACUAUGCCAUUUAUAGAUCUAGUUACAUAUAUAUUUUUUCAAAAGCUGAAAGCAAAACAAAACAAAAACACCAAGAAUUAUUUAAUUUACCUUGAUG